AACGAACGCUGGCGGCAUGCCUAACACAUGCAAGUCGAACGAGACCUUCGGGUCUAGUGGCGCACGGGUGCGUAACGCGUGGGAACCUGCCCUUAGGUUCGGAAUAACUCCCCGAAAGGGGUGCUAAUACCGGAUAAUGUCUUCGGACCACAGAUUUAUCGCCUUUGGAUGGGCCCGCGUUGGAUUAGCUUGUGGGUAGGGUAAAAGCCUACCAAGGCGACGAUCCAUAGCUGGUCUGAGAGGAUGAUCAGCCACACUGGGACUGGGACACGGCCCAGAAUACUACGGGAGGCAGCAGUGGGGAAUAUUGGACAAUGGGCGAAAGCCUGAUCCAGCAAUGCCGGGUGAGUGAUGAAGGCCUGAGGGUUGUAAAGCUCUUUUACCCGGGAUGAUAAUGACAGUACCGGGAGAAUAAGCUCCGGCUAACUCCGUG
Molecule: ribosomal RNA, 433 nt
Filed under: uncultured bacterium
Lineage: Bacteria
Description: partial 16S ribosomal RNA
Rfam family: Bacterial small subunit ribosomal RNA
Source: RNAcentral